This 210-nucleotide unclassified non-coding RNA is filed under the name uncultured fungus. RNAcentral's name for it is "sequence contains ITS1". The record is from RNAcentral. Lineage: Eukaryota; Fungi.
UUGAUUCAUUUAUGUUUUUUUACUCAGAGAUCCACUAUAGAAACAGGGUUUGGCUGGCCGCCGGCGGGCUGCUCCCUGUCUCCAGGGGGCCUUUACCGAGAAAGGCCGGCCUGCGCCGAGGCAACAGUAUGGGUAUAAGUUCACAAAGGGUUUCUGGGUGCGCCGAGGCGCGUUCCAGCAAUGAUCCCUCCGCUGGUUCACCAACGGAGA